AGAACACCAAAGGCGAAGGCAGUGUACUGGAACAUUCCUGACGCUCAGGGACGAAAGCGUGGAGAACGAAGCGGAUUAGAUACAAACUUGGUUUCCAAACCAAGUUGUUGUGUCUCACGUCGAUUACAAAAUAAAUCGAGUGAAAAACUUGGCUAUUUGCUGGAAACUCCGAGUAUCUCUGAUUACCUAAUAAAGGUAAAAAAAUCAGAGUGCGGACAAUCAGCAGGGAAGAUCGCGCAGGCGAUCCCCUCAGAGACUAUACGCCGAGCCCAUCUAAUGGUGGGAAGAUAUAGUCCGAACUGCAUGGCGACAUGCAGAAGCGGGUAGAAAUAUCCCGCUCUCGUUAUCAAUAGUCAAUUGUCAAAUGUCAAUUGUUAUUGUUACGAAGUAACAACAUUGACCCGCGUAGCCCACGCCCUCAACGAUGAGUGCUAGAUAUUGGGAGUAUCGACCCUCCCAGUGUCGUCCAACCAAGCUAACGCGUUAAGCACUCCGCCUGGGAAGUACGGUCGCAAGACUAAAACUCAAAGGAAUAGACGGGGACCCGCACAAGCGGUGGAGCAUGUGGUUCAAUUCGACGGUAAGCGAGGAACCUUACCAGGGCUCGAAAUGUUGGGAGUAUCCCGCGGGAAACCGUGGGGGACCGUUAAAUCGGAUCCCAGUAUAGGUGCUGCACGGUUGUCGUCAGCUCGUGGUUUGAACCGUUCCAUUAAGUUGGGUAACGAGCGCAACCCCCGUCCUGUGUUGUAUUUUUCACAGGAGACCGCCCACCCCUUUGUUCGCGGAGCGAACAACAUUUGACAUUUGACAUUUGACAUUUGACCAAUCGGUCAGAUGUUAGGUGUCAGGUGUCAGGUGUUGCGCGCUCACGCGCAAAGGGGUGGGAGGAAGGUGGGGAUGACGUCAAAUCAGCGUGGCCCUUAUGUCCUGGGCUACACACGUGCUACAAUGGCCGGUACAAUGGGUUGCCAAGCCGCAAGGCGGAGCUAAUCCCAAAAAACCGGCCCCAGUUCGGAUCGAGGUCUGCAACUCGACCUCGUGAAGUCGGAAUCGCUAGUAAACGCGCAUCAGCCACGGCGCGUUGAAUACGUUCUCGGGUCUUGUACUCACCGCCCGUCAAGCUAAGGGAGUCGGGAAUACCUAAAGCGCCCCGCAAGGGGCUUCAAGGUAAGCUCGAUGACAAGAGCUAAGUCGUAACAAGGCACGGGUAGCGGAAGCUGCUCGUG
This 1226-nucleotide ribosomal RNA is filed under the name groundwater metagenome. RNAcentral describes it as "bacterial SSU rRNA". It matches the Rfam family "Bacterial small subunit ribosomal RNA", at positions 703 to 1520 of the family's 1533-position model. The record is from RNAcentral.